UCGUCUCAUAAGCUCGGCACGCGCUCCCGCCGCUGCGACCGGCACCGCGGCGCCGGCGGAGACUCGGAGCUCGUCUUUCGGGAAUCGACCGAGCGCGCGAGGCUUCCUUCCGCGUGCGCUCCCGCCGGCUCUGCCUGGUGCCCGCCCCCGGCAGGCACGAUGCCGCCGGUGUACGCCGUGCUCGCCGCCGUCUUCAGGACCAGAAUCCCCUGGAAAGCAGCAGUCUUUCGAAAUAAACAAGUUUUUGCAUGUCUGAAAUAUCCAUCAUUCGGUAGAAACACACAAGAGAGUCACAUUGCAAGGUUCGAUAACCAAAGAAAGCACUGAGGAAGUUGGAUAAGUCCUCCACUUUUUCAUGUGGAGAACGAGAGUACAUGGAGCAUGGAUUUGCAGCUAUAAUUCAUUUCUUCCACUCUUUUUGGGACAAUUUUCUAUGACCUUAAAAAAAAUCUUGGUGUUAUCUGUUAGCUCUCCUCUUAACAAAAACCAUUCAAAUAUCAAUAUACCUGCAUUUGUUGAGAUGAUUUUUAGAAUUUUUUGGUGGAUCAUUGAUUUUUUGGCAGGAAACAAAAUUCUUGAUACAUACAACAAGUAUCUCGCCACUAAUAAUCAAUCAAAUCUGGUAUUGCAGCUUGUUGUCUUUAGUAAUAGUGCAGAAACAUUAACUUAAUGAGACUAAAUUUUAUAAGUAGACACUAGGAAAGAACAUAGUAUUUUGCUAUUUUUGGCUCUUUGCUAUGUUCAUUAGUCUAAGCUUAUCACUAGAGAAAUUAUAUUCUACAAUGACAAGAUCCUUUUCAGUUAUAUGGCAAUCUUCUUCUUCUUUUCUUUUCAUGGCACUAUACUCUUUUGAAGUUUCAGUGUUUAGAUGAAAAGUUCAGAUUCACGAAAGCUGUAAAUUGUGUCCUUUUACUGUUUUGUUGUGACACUAAUUUCUGUAUUGAGAACAAGUUGUUAAGUUCAUGGGAGCUGUUUCCCUGAACUGUUUUCGUUCAGAACCAAGGCCACUAGCUUUUCACUGAGCUGUUUUUGAACAACUUUUCAUGCAAGGUUAUUUUUACAUUAACUGUAAGUUUAGGAUCUAUACAAAAAUCUCUUCACGAAAGUUGCAGUUCUGGUAUCUUUCAGGAGAAUCUAAUGAAUUGGUCUAGAGACCUCAGGAGUCCUUGCCCUGAGAGGAGCCCAUGUCAUCAUCGGCACGAGAAACACAGAAGCUGCAUCAGAGGCAAGAAGCGCAUCAUGGAGACAAACCUAACAGCUCCUGUCGAUGUUUUGAAGCUUGACCUUAGCGCCCCCAAAGUCUGUCAGACCCUUCGCCAACCAGUUCAACUCGAUGAUUCUUCCUCUGAACAUCUUGAUAAACAGUGCAGGUGUGAUGUUGUGUUCUUUCCAACUGUCAGAAGAUGAGGUUGAGAUGCAGUUUAUCACAAGUCAUCGUGGUAUUGUCUGUAAGACUAACUGUCAUCAACACAUGAAACAGACAAUAUCAAUGGCAGAUAUCCUGAUACAAGGCAUAUGGACAAUCUAAGCUUGCAAACAUUCUGCACGUGAAAGAGUUAUCUAGGCGGCAGUAGAUACAAUGAUAAAAUGGCAUAUGGUCAAUCUAAGCUUGCAAACAUUCUGCACGUGAAAGAGUUAUCUAGGCGGCACAAGCUUGACGCAGAUGAAGUCGUCGAGGCUGUUGUUGCACAACAUUCCAUAGCCCCCGACGCCCUUGAGGACUCUGACGACGUUCCCGUCCAUGUCCAGAAGCCGCAUGUCGCGGCCUUGGACGGGUUCUUCCUCUUGGAAGGAUCCGGUGUAGAUGAGGAGCGGGCCUUGGUGGGACUUGUGCGCGGCGGCGAAGAUAGGUCGCGCCACCCCUUGGACACGCAUCGGAACCGGCAGACAGACUUGACAUGCGUCUGGGAGGGGAUGUUGAAGACGGCGUGGUAGGGCAAUGAUACAGUACCCAUGUCGACGAGACGAGAGCAACGAUGCAGCUUGGCCUGCCUAUCGGUGGCCGAAUAAGUACACAACCUCCGACGAUAGCCUGCAAAUUAUUUCUAUCAAAAUUGUAUCAACAAGAGGAGCUCUACGGUGGCCCAUAGAGAUGUGUUUGGCAUGAUCACCGUGCGGGAUGUCUUGGAUAAUCGCAUGCGCAAUAUUAUCUUCACCCGUGCAAGGAGUAAUUGUCAAACCAUCGACGAGUAUUUUCUGUUCGGCAUCGACCCGUGCCGAGGGAGCAUCAUUAUUUCCUUAAUAAUUUAGCUGUUGCAUGUGCAGCACCCCUAUCUACAACUCACAGGUCCUAUGCGUGCUAUUGUGACCUGUAUCGACCCUGGGAACAUCGAGAUCGCGCUGAAAGUUAAGGGCGCAACUGAAUCAGAGGAUAGAGACCUAAGUUUUCUAGUUUUAUUGUUGAAAAGCAGUAUGUAUAUUUCCUACCAUGGAGACUACUCUAGCAAGCGUAGCACACUCAAGUUAGAACUUCACCACAUGGCUGUUGCCGUGGAGGCGACAAUCGGUGUGCGACUCAUCACCGGUGGAUCAUCAUUGCCACUAGGUGAUUUUCAAGGUGUAUUCACUGCUAGUAUUGCCAGCAUAGAUGAUGUGGAGAUUUUGUUGCUUGCCUUCAGAGAUGGUAAAUUGUCACCGAUGACGGCAUGGUCAAUCUUUCACGGCGUGUUAUAAACGCUGGACUCCGUGAUUGAGAAGAGCUCAAGGUCUCUCUAUUGUCGCAAGAUGUCAAGAGGAAGAACAGGUGGCUAUAAUGAGAUGAUAUAGUUUUCACACCUAAAAGAUAUAGUAGAAGUUGUGGUGUACUUACGUGGAAGAUGCAAGUCACCGUUGCAUGGUCCCUUAUACGUUGAUUGGCUUGACUAAUCUAGCAAGGCUGAGUGUUGCUGGUUUGCUUUAGAUAAUCCAAGUAGUGAUUUUCUCAACUUUUUGUGUGUGUGG
This is a long non-coding RNA of Lolium perenne, 2940 nucleotides long. RefSeq lists it as uncharacterized. Lineage: Eukaryota; Viridiplantae; Streptophyta; Magnoliopsida; Poales; Poaceae. The record is from RefSeq and is a predicted model, not a curated record.